This 440-nucleotide ribosomal RNA is filed under the name uncultured bacterium. Its description in RNAcentral is "partial 16S ribosomal RNA". It matches the Rfam family "Bacterial small subunit ribosomal RNA", at positions 339 to 795 of the family's 1533-position model. The record is from RNAcentral.
CUACGGGACGCUGCAGUGAGGAAUAUUGCACAAUGGGGGGAACCCUGAUGCAGCAACGCCGCGUGGAGGAUGACGCAUUUCGGUGUGUAAACUCCUUUUAUAUGUCAAGAAAAUGACGGUAGCAUAUGAAUAAGCACCGGCUAACUCCGUGCCAGCAGCCGCGGAUAAUACGGAGGGUGCAAGCGUUACUCGGAAUCACUGGGCGUAAAGGACGCGUAGGCGGGUUGGAAAGUCAGGUGUGAAAUCCUACAGCUUAACUGUAGAACUGCACUUGAAACUUCUAAGCUAGAGUAUGGGAGGGGGAGAUGGAAUUAGUGGUGUAGGGGUAAAAUCCGUAGAUAUCACUAGGAAUACCUAAAGCGAAGGCGAUCUCCUGGAACAUUACUGACGCUAAGGCGUGAAAGCGUGGGGAGCAAACAGGAUUAGAUACCCCCGUAGUC